UACGGGGGGGGCAAGCGUUGUUCGGAAUUACUGGGCGUAAAGGGCUCGUAGGCGGCCAACUAAGUCGGAUGUGAAAUCCCCAGGCUUAACCUGGGAACUGCAUCCGAUACUGGAUGGCUUGAAUCCGGGAGAGGGAUGCAGAAUUCCAGGUGUAGCGGUGAAAUGCGUAGAUAUCGGGAGGAACAUCAGUGGCGAAGGCGGCCUUCUGGUCCAGUACUGACACUCAAGUGCGAAAGCGUGGGGAGCAAACAGG
Molecule: ribosomal RNA, 253 nt
Filed under: uncultured bacterium
Lineage: Bacteria
Description: partial 16S ribosomal RNA
Rfam family: Bacterial small subunit ribosomal RNA
Source: RNAcentral